UGUCUUACGUUUUGUCAAACAUUGUCAUAUGUUAUCUUCUCUGUAAGGCAAUUAGUUGUGCAGAGAUGUAGCAGGUAAGGCAAUUCUGAAACAUAUUUAGCCGAUUAUCUUGGAAAUGGUGCAUCCUCUCAAGGUGCAUGAAAAGAACCUUUUAUGUAUAAUUUUUAAUGCUCUUCAAGAAUAUAGUCUCACAUUUUUGGAAAUUGCAAAGCGUCCAUCUUUUUCUGAAAUAAAAUCCUCCCCUGAACCCUCAUAUUGCCACUCCCACAGUCACUAUCACGAAGGUCACUAUCACAGUCACUAUCAGUCAUAUGCCAAGUUAUUACAAUCUUCCUGUGCCAAAUAUCAUAAAAAAAUUAAAAAACCAUUUUCUUUAAAUAAUGCAAAAAGUACAAUUUUGGAUGCCCCUUUCACAUC
RNAcentral lists this long non-coding RNA (417 nucleotides) under Androctonus crassicauda. The record is from RNAcentral. Lineage: Eukaryota; Metazoa; Arthropoda; Arachnida; Scorpiones; Buthidae.